This 458-nucleotide long non-coding RNA is filed under the name Vitis vinifera (wine grape). RNAcentral's name for it is "long non-coding RNA (VVIN_LNC004847)". Lineage: Eukaryota; Viridiplantae; Streptophyta; Magnoliopsida; Vitales; Vitaceae. The record is from RNAcentral.
AAUAUUGUGGAAGAGAGGCUGGUUGAUAUUGUUGAUGUGAUGGAGCUGCAGGAGGCGGCUGUGGUUGCUGGGUCGGUGGUAGUUGGUAUUGCUGGUUGGGAGCUUCUUGUGCCUGACCAGGUGGUUGAAAGUAGGGCUCUCGCUGUGGGAUGGAAGGAAUCUGGUUCGGAGGGAAUUGACUAGGUAGCUGAGCUGGAGGAGACUGCAUAUUGAGUUGGGGAGGAGGUGGCGGAGCAUUAGGGGGAGGGAGUGCAGGAAGUGUUUGAGGAGUAACAGGUGGAGGAAGUGGUUGGUGAGAUUGCUGAGGAGGAGAUGCUGCUUGCUUUGCAGAAUCUAAGGUCACAGUGUUCUGGGUUUCUGAUUGCUGGUCUGCUUUGGACACUUGAAGCUUUGCAAGCUGUAGGUGAGCCUCCACUAUUUCUUGUUUGUCCCUUAAAACCUGUACACCAGUUUGCACC